This 490-nucleotide ribosomal RNA is filed under the name uncultured bacterium. Its description in RNAcentral is "partial 16S ribosomal RNA". It matches the Rfam family "Bacterial small subunit ribosomal RNA", at positions 30 to 507 of the family's 1533-position model. The record is from RNAcentral.
AUUGAACGCUGGCGGCAGGCUUAACACAUGCAAGUCGAACGGUAACAUAAAGGGGUUUGCUUCCUUGAUGUCGCGUGGCGCACGGGAGUGUCAUGUUUGUGACUCUCGUUUAUGACUGGGGUUACCUACGGGAAACUGUACCUAAUCCCGCUUAUAUUCGGGAGCUGAAGGUUUAGGACCUUCGGGCCACUUUCCAUUGGAUUAUCUCAAGUUGGAUUAGGUAGUUGGUGAGGUAAAGGCUCACCAAGGCGACGAUCCGUAGCUGGUCUGAGAGGAUGACCGGCCACACUGGAACUGAGACACGGUCCAGACUCCUACGGGAGGCAGCAGUAGGGAAUAUUGCGCAAUGGGGGAAAGCCUGACGGAGCAAUGCCGCGUGAAUGAUGAAGGUCUUCGGGUUGUAAAGUUCUGUCGGUAGCGAGGAAGGAAUGUAGAAGAAAAGACGAGGGGAUUGACGGUACCUAAUGAGGAAGCAACGGCUAACUACGUG